CCAGUUAGAAGCAGUCCAAAAGCAACCUUCGGUCGCCUCCUUUUCCAUCUUUAUUUCUUCGCUUUGUAAUUGUUGCUACAGUUAGGGAAAAACAUGCUGCGCUUGCCACAGCCCACAAGGCAAGUUUGGAAAAUUAUGGCAAAAUCUGCCCUCUUGGAACCGAAACUCCUGGAUGCUGGAUGCAAGAUGCUGGAUGCUAGUUGCUGUAUUCUGGAUGCGGCACUCUGG
This is a long non-coding RNA of Drosophila sechellia, 228 nucleotides long. RefSeq lists it as uncharacterized. Lineage: Eukaryota; Metazoa; Arthropoda; Insecta; Diptera; Drosophilidae. The record is from RefSeq and is a predicted model, not a curated record. The transcript is spliced from 3 exons.